This 484-nucleotide ribosomal RNA is filed under the name uncultured bacterium. RNAcentral describes it as "partial 16S ribosomal RNA". It matches the Rfam family "Bacterial small subunit ribosomal RNA", at positions 30 to 507 of the family's 1533-position model. The record is from RNAcentral.
AUUGAACGCUGGCGGCAUGCUUUACACAUGCAAGUCGAACGGUAACAGGGUGCUUGCACCGCUGACGAGUGGCGAACGGGUGAGUAAUGCAUCGGAAUGUACCGUGUAAUGGGGGAUAGCUCGGCGAAAGCCGGAUUAAUACCGCAUACGCCCUGAGGGGGAAAGUGGGGGGCCGAAAGGCCUCACGUUAUACGAGCAGCCGAUGUCUGAUUAGCUAGUUGGUGAGGUAAAGGCUCACCAAGGCGUCGAUCAGUAGCGGGUCUGAGAGGAUGAUCCGCCACACUGGGACUGAGACACGGCCCAGGCUCCUACGGGAGGCAGCAGUGGGGAAUUUUGGACAAUGGGCGCAAGCCUGAUCCAGCCAUGCCGCGUGUCUGAAGAAGGCCUUCGGGUUGUAAAGGACUUUUGUCCGGGAGCAAAUCCUAGUGGUUAAUACCUACUGGGGCUGAGAGUACCGGAAGAAUAAGCACCGGCUAACUACGUG